This 331-nucleotide ribosomal RNA is filed under the name uncultured eukaryote. RNAcentral's name for it is "partial 18S ribosomal RNA". It matches the Rfam family "Eukaryotic small subunit ribosomal RNA", at positions 1470 to 1796 of the family's 1831-position model. The record is from RNAcentral.
CCCUUAGAUGUUCUGGGCCGCACGCGCGCUACACUGAUGCAUUCAACGAGUCUAAAACCUGGUCUGAUAGGGCUGGGUAAUCUUUUGAAAGUGCAUCGUGAUUGGGAUAGAUGAUUGCAAUUCUUCAUCUUCAACGAGGAAUGCCUAGUAAACGCAAGUCAUCAGCUUGCAUUGAUUACGUCCCUGCCCUUUGUACACACCGCCCGUCGCUCCUACCGAUUGAAUGAUCCGAUGAAUACCGUGGAUUGAGUGUUCGAAUGGGUUCUCUCAUUUCAGCAUCCCUGAGAAGCGGAGUAAAUCUUAUCAUUUAGAGGAAGGAGAAGUCGUAACA